RNAcentral lists this ribosomal RNA (253 nucleotides) under uncultured bacterium. Its description in RNAcentral is "partial 16S ribosomal RNA". It matches the Rfam family "Bacterial small subunit ribosomal RNA", at positions 524 to 776 of the family's 1533-position model. The record is from RNAcentral.
UACGUAGGGGGCAAGCGUUGUCCGGAAUUAUUGGGCGUAAAGAGCUCGUAGGCGGCCUGUUACGUCUGCUGUGAAAUCCCGGGGCUUAACCCCGGGCGUGCAGUGGAUACGGGCAGGCUGGAGGCAGGCAGGGGAGAACGGAAUUCCCGGUGUAGCGGUGAAAUGCGCAGAUAUCAUGAGGAACACCGGUGGCGAAGGCGGUUCUCUGGGCCUUACCUGACGCUGAGGAGCGAAAGCGUGGGGAGCAAACAGG